Molecule: ribosomal RNA, 978 nt
Filed under: Triticum aestivum (bread wheat)
Lineage: Eukaryota; Viridiplantae; Streptophyta; Magnoliopsida; Poales; Poaceae
Description: partial small subunit ribosomal RNA
Source: RNAcentral
AUGAAGGCGUCCAGCCUGCGCGCCGUGCAGUAUAGCGGCUACGGUGGCGGUGCCGCGGCCCUUAAGUACGUGGAUAUCCCAGUUCCUUCACCGAAGAAAGAUGAAGUUCUCAUAAAAGUUGAAGCAGCAAGCAUAAAUCCAGCGGAUUGGAAGAUCCAGAAAGGGAUGCUCCAUCCUUUUAUUCCUAAAUUCCCGUUUAUUCCAGUAACCGACGUUGCUGGAGAGAUUGUUGAGGUUGGUUCUGCGGUUCAAGAGUUGAAAGUUGGUGACAAAGUUGUGUCCAAAUUAGUCUUUUGGAAAGCUGGUGGCCUCGCCGAGUAUGUUGCAGCAUCCGAGAGCAUCACCGUCACCCAACCCACCGGAGUAUCCGCUGCCGAUGCCGCAGGGCUGCCCAUCGCCGGCCUCACUGCUCUGCAGGCCCUGAAGGCCAUUGGCACGAAGUUCGACGGCACAUGCAGCGGCAGCAACAUCCUGAUCACCGCGGCAUCAGGCGGCAUCGGCACGUACGCCGUCCAGCUCGCCAAGCUCGGGAACCACAACGUCACCGCCACCUGCGGUGCCCGCAACCUGGAGGCCGUCAUGAACAUCGGCGCCGACGAGGUGCUUGACUACAAGACCCCGGAAGGCGUGGCACUGAGCAAAUCUUCGGGCAAGAAGUACGACUACAUCGUGAACACCACGGCUGAUGGCAAGUGGUCGGCCUUCAAGCCGGCCCUCAACUGCCCUGGCAGAGUCGUCGAUAUAGCUUCCAACUUUUGGAACUUUGUCGCAUCAAUCCUGACGUUUUUCUCCAACAAGAAGCUGUCCAUCGUGAUCGAAUCGAUGGGGAAGGAGGACCUGAGGUUUCUGCUUGAGCUGGUGAAGGAAGGGAAGCUCAAGACGGUUGUCGACUCACGCCAUCCAUUCGAGAAGGCAGCGGACGCGUGGGAGAAGAGCAUGAGCGGGCACGCCACAGGAAAGGUCAUAGUUGUGAUGUGA